AUGAAAUCCGUGGGAGGCGGGACACGAAGCGAGCCAUUCAUGGCUUCUUUGCUUAGCUACACUUGUUGGCUUUUUUUCUCAUUGAUGGACAAUGGAUGGAAGGUCAAUGAGUCCGUCUGGCUCAACGGGACUGGCACUGUGCUCUACUUUGUCUAUCUGAUGAUGUUUCUUUGCUACACGGACGAAGCCCAUCGAUGGAUCACAAUCGAGAGGUGGGUUCCCGGUGCUGUGUUUUACCUGUUUUUCAUAGCAAUCUUUGGAGUUCUGGCCGAGUGGACCUCGGUCGUCAAGGUGAUGUGCACGCUCGCUGGACUGGCCUCCGGGUGCACAUCACUCGUGCUGGCUGUGUCUGUGCUCGAGAGGAAGUUGGAGUCCUUGCCUGAUUGUGUGUCCACGACAGUGAGCCUACUUCACUAUUGCGUGUGGAUCACUCGUGACGCUAUCGACCCAAGAGAUUACUUUGAUAUGGUAAGUGGCUACAAAUUCCCCCUUAAUUAA
RNAcentral lists this ribosomal RNA (498 nucleotides) under Triticum aestivum (bread wheat). RNAcentral's name for it is "partial small subunit ribosomal RNA". Lineage: Eukaryota; Viridiplantae; Streptophyta; Magnoliopsida; Poales; Poaceae. The record is from RNAcentral.